Prunus dulcis (almond) is the source of this 619-nucleotide long non-coding RNA. RefSeq lists it as uncharacterized. The record is from RefSeq and is a predicted model, not a curated record. The transcript is spliced from 3 exons. Lineage: Eukaryota; Viridiplantae; Streptophyta; Magnoliopsida; Rosales; Rosaceae.
ACUAAACAGCUUCUUUUGUUGCCGUUUUUGCCCCUCCCCCUUCGUUGAGAGGGUUUCGUCCGCUGACAGAACCCUCUAUUUUCAGUUCGUUUCCAACCAGCUGGUUGGGGGGCAGCCAUGGAAGAUCUGUAUUCGUUGCUGGACAUGCGUGGGGGGCCAUCGAUUUUUUUCUUGGGAGGUGAGCUGCAAAUCCAGCCGCACUUUUAGUCUUCGUCUCACAGAUUUGGGGUCGGGAGAUUUCAUCCUUUCUACAUCCUUCGACUCAGACUUCCAUCUUUCUUGCUUGCGAAUAUUUGCAUCCUUUGUCUUCAGGUGGUCUUUUGUUGCUUUGGAUAGAGCGGUUUGGUUGGUGUUUUCAGUUCUGUUAAGCAAGGGGUUCUUGAGUAAUCCCUAUUGCUAUAUAAGAGGAGCUGAGGUAUUUAAAUUUCACAACAUAUUGGAUUCUAUCAGGAAGGGGAUUGAAUCUCACAGAUUAGCUCAGGUAUUUCCAUCAUUGUUAUUAUUAAUUUUUUUAAUCAAUUGUCAAUUCAAUGACUUUGCUCUUUUCGAGAAAUCUUAGAAAUGGAAAUCAUUCUCAAUUUCUGUUUUGGUUGCUGAUAAAACACUGGAAAGCAAAAAC